UUGCGACCCCAGGUCAGG
RNAcentral lists this ribosomal RNA (18 nucleotides) under Manilkara subsericea. Its description in RNAcentral is "partial 26S ribosomal RNA". Lineage: Eukaryota; Viridiplantae; Streptophyta; Magnoliopsida; Ericales; Sapotaceae. The record is from RNAcentral.